CGGGUGAGUAACGCGUGGAUAACCUGCCUCAUACAGGGGGAUAACAGUUAGAAAUGACUGCUAAUACCGCAUAAGCGCACAGGACCGCAUGGUCUGGUGUAGAAAACUCCGGUGGUAUGGGAUGGAUCCGCGUCUGAUUAGCUGGUUGGUGAGGUAACGGCCCACCAAGGCGACGAUCAGUAGCCGACCUGAGAGGGUGGCCGGCCACAUUGGGACUGAGACACGGCCCAAACUCCUACGGAAGGCAGCAG
Molecule: ribosomal RNA, 251 nt
Filed under: uncultured bacterium
Lineage: Bacteria
Description: partial 16S ribosomal RNA
Rfam family: Bacterial small subunit ribosomal RNA
Source: RNAcentral